AUGUUGAAUGAAGAUGAAUCGGAAAUGGAUGCCUUUAAUUAUCUUAAACUGGAUGAACCCCUUGAUACAAGGCCUCUUUUAAAUGGUGAGUCUCUUGAAGUAUCCAUGAUGUCUCAAGAAGGUGACAGUACUAUUGAAAUGCAUCGUCUUCAAGUUCCGGAAUUAUAUUUUAAUGCUGACGAUUUGCUGAUUUAUGUUGAUUUAACUGUAAAGGAUUCAGGAUGCGAAGUGUCUCCUUUUGAACAAAUAAAAUUGAGUAUGACAGAAUUACCAGAUAGUGAAGGAAAAGUAUCAAAGAGAGGUAAAUUACUUGAAUAUACUCUGAUUUUGAUUUCCAUCUCCAUUUUUUUUAGGCGCAACACAACCAGCUUACUGCUUAGUUGUCUAAAAAUGCUGGCUUGAGCGCAGACAUUGUGCCAAAUUGUGCACAGAAAUAAUUAAAAAUUUGGGGAGACGCAUUGGGGACUGUUGUAAAAUUGUGCAUUUAGAUAUGAACUGUAUGGAUGAAUCAGGUGGGCGAUGUUGCAAAAUUCUGCAGAUAAAAUUGGAGAAUUGCGUCUUGUCCUUUGCAUUGCAACACUUUUUUAAUAUUUUUUGUAUUUUUAUUCUGUCAAACAAGUUCACAUAGUUAUUUACAAAGAAACAGAAGAAGCCAGCUAAGCUCCCCCUAUGCAGCUAUGGAAAAAAAAGUACUAUUUUACUAGACGGCAGUUAGGUUUAAAAACUCUGGCCGCGUCCCCACUCAUGCCCUCACAAUGUGCAACACUUCCCUUCAAUUUGCUCUAAUACGGUAUGUUGAGUAUCUAGUCCCCUAAAUAUGUGUGAAUGCCAUGGUGCACAUUAGGGUGGGCAGAAAAUUUUUUUUUUUUUUGGAAAUCCUAAAACGGCUAGGGCUUAUAAGUUGUCAAUAGGCAUCGAUAAAACGAGGAAAAAAUCCGAGGCCAUAACUCUUCCAUCUGCAUCAUCAGCAUGAAAGUUGAAGUUAUGAGGGCUGAAUAUUCUGAUUUUUUCAAGUUUUUUCAAAGUAAAAUCGCACUCUGCGUCCUCACUAGGGCCAAAACUUUUGCAAGCUAAGGUAUGCCUACGUAUUUUGAGUCGAGAAAUUGAUUUCUGCAAGAAAAUAAAAUAUGUCGAAAUGCAAUAUAGAUUUUUGCGAUAUAUAAUGUAAAAAUGUCACAUUUUCAGUUUUUUUUCUCGCCUUUUGAUUGGAAUUUUAUCGAUUUAGCUUUCUGUAGUGAAACCUAUGCAUAUACCUCUGCAAAGUUUACAAAGAGAUCUUAAAUUCUAAAAUUGAAUGUUUCUUUCCACUGACACAAUCCCAGUAUUUUAACUUUGAGCGAACGAAACCAUCUCAUCGCUCCUUGCCACAAACUAAUGCAGAGGUUUCAAUCACAAUUUUCUCUCAUCUUUCAACACUGAGUAUCACUCGGAAAUUAGGAGAGAGGUUCAAUGUGUCCCCACCACGGACGAAAAGAUGCAAGUAAUCGUCUUUUACAAAAUGAAGCAAAAUAUGUGACGCCAUUGUAUCGGCAUCCCAAUUGAUCAUUUCAGUGCAGUUUUCGGCCUAAAAAAUGUAAGUGAGGCACCAAGAAUCUCGAUUUCAACGAUUCUUUGAAAAUGAGGAGUCAAGCAAUUAACAAAAUCAUUGCGUCCCGAAAAAAAAGUCGGUUGUGCCGUUUUUGUGCUUCAGUUUUUGUUAGCGACCGGGAAAACCGGGGAAAGUGAGGGGAAAAAAACCAACCGGGAAAAGUCAGGGAAUUUUGGUGCUGGUCAGGGAUUUUUCUGAUUUUACGUGUAAUGGGUCGCGGGCGGUCUCGGGCUCGAGUUGCGGGAUCAACUGACUACAGGGCUUUUUUUUAUGCGGAUCGCAGUAGAACACGGUGGAUCGCGAUGAACAUCGGUAUUUUUUUAUUCCGUUCCUCAGCCGCGAUCCUAGUGUUCCAAGUGGAUCAAGGUGGAACGCUGGAUCGCUCUUUCGAGGUGGGACGAGCUCGCGAUCCAAUGUGUUCCAUUCUAAUGCGAGGAACUUGCCGUCCCCAACAAAUCAAAACAAUAACAAAUCAAACCAAAUUCCAAGUUUGGAUUUUUUUAUCACUUGGAACACUUUGAAUCGGUCCGGGUCGCUCAGGAUUCCGAUCCAGCGCGUUCCACUACGAUUCACCCUGUUCCGCGAUAAAAAAAAAAAAAACCCUUACUGCGCAGAGAGUGCGUUCGAUUGCGGAGAAUGGCGGCGCUCUCGCUAUUGGCUUCGCGAGGAACUACCGGCGCGUAUUCCGAUCGCGUCACAUCGGACCUGCGCGCGCGUGUGUGUGUGUGUGUGUGUGUGUGUGUGUGUGUGUGUGUGAGAGGGUGAGGGUGUGUCUGUGUGUGCGUGCGCGUGCGCGUGUGUUUACUUACGUUUGUUCACAUAACCUAGAAGUCUGCAACGAGUUCUGUAGGACGCCGUUCUAUUUUGAGCGGGUGAUUAGAGCGCGUUCUCGCGUAGGACCCUAGUAAACUCAGAGGAUCCUCCCCUCCGAACCUCAACUCAUCCAUCGCCCGCUCCAAAAGUGAGGUUUAGCCGAUGAUUGAAAAAUUACACAUAAGGCGGUUGAAUUCUUGAAAAGUUAGUAUUUUUUGGCGUUUUCCGAUCCCUUUCGUCAGGGACGGGCCUGCCGCACUCUACAUGAGGGUAAAAAAUUAGAUUUUUGGCAGAUAUACGCGAUCCUACGGAUUUUUGUGAAGUUCAACAACUGAUAAUAGAGUGCGCCUAACGGGCAAAAUCCGAACGAAAAAUAUACACCUUUUCGCAGGUGUACUUUACGGAUCGGACCGAACCUAUCCGAAGAAUACCGAGGCUGCCCGAACGCAAAGGUACACGAUGGUAACGUCGUUGACCGAUGGAGCCCGAAUAUGACUCACGAAAAGCAUACAAUAGCUGAGUUACACCGAAAUAGGCGGCAUAUUUAAAAAAAUGGAGAAAUCAAUUCGGUAGCGAAGAAACUAAUAAUAAUCAGUCCCAAGCAGUAUUAAAGAGUUGUUUUCUUUCAUAAACUCUUUCAAGACAUUUAACCAUUUGAGCCAUCGAAUCUGAAUAAUUAGUGGCACAUUAUCAUCCAUUGGAUGAACCUACUGAUAGUUCCUUUUUUUAAAUAUCAGUUUUAGAAUACACUAUAUUUACUUUUCUUAACUUGAAAAACGUCUUUUGAAGAGAGAAAAGUAAAAGGAGGAAUUAUUUGAAACGCUUCAAAAUGUUUCACAUUUGAUAGCAAAUAUUGGUUU
RNAcentral lists this long non-coding RNA (3261 nucleotides) under Bemisia tabaci. Its description in RNAcentral is "lncRNA ENSSSA2NGG002591". Lineage: Eukaryota; Metazoa; Arthropoda; Insecta; Hemiptera; Aleyrodidae. The record is from RNAcentral.